This 501-nucleotide ribosomal RNA is filed under the name uncultured bacterium. Its description in RNAcentral is "bacterial SSU rRNA". It matches the Rfam family "Bacterial small subunit ribosomal RNA", at positions 28 to 521 of the family's 1533-position model. The record is from RNAcentral.
GAUGAACGCUGGCGGCGUGCUUAACACAUGCAAGUCGAACGGAGGACCCUUGACGGAGUUUUCGGACAACGGAUAGGAAUCCUUAGUGGCGGACGGGUGAGUAACGCGUGAGGAACCUGCCUUGGAGAGGGGAAUAACACAGAGAAAUUUGUGCUAAUACCGCAUGAUGCAGUUGGGUCGCAUGGCUCUGACUGCCAAAGAUUUAUCGCUCUGAGAUGGCCUCGCGUCUGAUUAGCUAGUUGGUAGGGUAACGGCCUACCAAGGCGACGAUCAGUAGCCGGACUGAGAGGUUGGCCGGCCACAUUGGGACUGAGACACGGCCCAGACUCCUACGGGAGGCAGCAGUGGGGAAUAUUGGGCAAAUGGGCGAAAGCCUGACCCAGCAACGCCGCGUGAAGGAAGAAAGGCCCUCGGGUUGUAAACUUCUUUUGUUCAGGGACGAAGCAAGUGACGGUACCUGACGAAUAAGCCACGGCUAAACUACGUGCCAGCCGCCGCCGU